Sardina pilchardus (European sardine) is the source of this 391-nucleotide long non-coding RNA. RefSeq lists it as uncharacterized. Lineage: Eukaryota; Metazoa; Chordata; Actinopteri; Clupeiformes; Clupeidae. The record is from RefSeq and is a predicted model, not a curated record. The transcript has 3 exons.
UUUUAACUAAUAUAAUAUAAUGCCCCUCAUUCAAGUUUUAGGCUACUCAAAAGACUACAAUCUUUCAAGAAUCUUUCCCAAAUCUUGUCAAAGUUUGUCAGUGUAAGGUAGGCUUAAUCAGGAUUUCUGGAGCAAGGAAGCUGAAAGAAACAUUCCAUGACAAAUUGAUUGAUUGGUGCCAGGGACAGGGGUGGCAAUUGCCUCUCAAGGCAGACACCACGUUUGAGAAAAAAGGCCCAGAAGAGAUGUACAAUCAGAAAGUACAGUAAAGUGAAUGUUACUUGAUGGGUUCUUCUUUAGGAUUGCAUACAGAACCACAUAGCACACAAUAGCCACAAGCCUAAUGCAAUGUUUUUGUUUUCUGUAAUUAUUAUUUUUCUAAUAAUACAUA